CAAGCAGGCCAGGCGGUCGCGGGUGGCGCAAGCCAUCCGAGGAAAGUCCGAGCUCCGCAGAGCACGGUGCUGGGUAACACCCAGGCGGGGUGACCCGACGGAACAGUGCAACAGAAAGCAGACUGCUGGCUUCGGCCAGUGAGGGUGCAACGGUAGUGUAAGAGACUACCAGCGGCUCCAGUGAUGGGGUCGGCUGGGCAAACCCCACCGGGAGCAAGGCCAAGCAGGAGGGAAGGCGCUAAGCGCCGGGAGGCGGCUCGUCUCCCUGGACCUUCGGGUAGGCUGCUUGAGGCGGCGGGUAACCGCCGUCCCAGAUAGAUGACCGCCACCCUGGUUCGCCAGGGGACAGAACUCGGCUUAUCGGCUCGCUUGGGCA
This 376-nucleotide RNase P RNA is filed under the name Anaerolineales bacterium. RNAcentral describes it as "RNase P RNA component class A". It matches the Rfam family "Bacterial RNase P class A". From Rfam's summary of the family: Ribonuclease P (RNase P) is a ubiquitous endoribonuclease, found in archaea, bacteria and eukarya as well as chloroplasts and mitochondria. Its best characterised activity is the generation of mature 5'-ends of tRNAs by cleaving the 5'-leader elements of precursor-tRNAs. Cellular RNase Ps are ribonucleoproteins. Lineage: Bacteria; Bacillati; Chloroflexota; Anaerolineae; Anaerolineales. The record is from RNAcentral.